UGAAAUGAUGAUGGUUAUUGUCGCCCCAGUCUUAAUUUGCACCAGACGGUGUAAGAUGGUGAAUGACAUUAUUAUCUGAUCC
This is a small nucleolar RNA of Vigna angularis (adzuki bean), 82 nucleotides long. It matches the Rfam family "Small nucleolar RNA U31b". Lineage: Eukaryota; Viridiplantae; Streptophyta; Magnoliopsida; Fabales; Fabaceae. The record is from Rfam.